AGAGUUUGAUCAUGGCUCAGGACGAACGCUGGCGGCGUGCCUAAUACACGCAAGUCGAGCGAGCUUGCCUAGAUGAUUUUAGUGCUUGCACUAAAUGAAACUAGAUACAAGCGAGCGGCGGACGGGUGAGUAACACGUGGGUAACCUGCCCAAGAGACUGGGAUAACACCUGGAAACAGAUGCUAAUACCGGAUAACAACACUAGACGCAUGUCUAGAGUUUGAAAGAUGGUUCUGCUAUCACUCUUGGAUGGACCUGCGGUGCAUUAGCUAGUUGGUAAGGUAACGGCUUACCAAGGCAACGAUCAGUAGCCGACCUGAGAGGGUGACCGGCCACAUUGGGACUGAGACACGGCCCAAACUCCUACGGGAGGCAGCAGUGGGGAAUAUUGCACAAUGGGGGAAACCCUGAUGCAGCGACGCCGCGUGAGCGAAGAAGUAUUUCGGUAUGUAAAGCUCUAUCAGCAGGGAAGAAACUGACGGUACCUGACUAAGAAGCACCGG
RNAcentral lists this ribosomal RNA (503 nucleotides) under uncultured bacterium. Its description in RNAcentral is "bacterial SSU rRNA". It matches the Rfam family "Bacterial small subunit ribosomal RNA", at positions 8 to 496 of the family's 1533-position model. The record is from RNAcentral.